AUACGGAGGGUGCAAGCGUUAUUCGGAAUCACUGGGCGUAAAGGACGCGUAGGCGGGUUGGCAAGUCAGAUGUGAAAUCCUACAGCUUAACUGUAGAACUGCAUUUGAAACUGCUAACCUAGAGUAUGGGAGGGGGAGAUGGAAUUAGUGGUGUAGGGGUAAAAUCCGUAGAUAUCACUAGGAAUACCGAAAGCGAAGGCGAUCUCCUGGAACAUAACUGACGCUAAGGCGUGAAAGCGUGGGGAGCAAACAUGAUUAGAAACCCUAGUAGUCC
This 274-nucleotide ribosomal RNA is filed under the name uncultured bacterium. RNAcentral's name for it is "partial 16S ribosomal RNA". It matches the Rfam family "Bacterial small subunit ribosomal RNA", at positions 523 to 796 of the family's 1533-position model. The record is from RNAcentral.